This 418-nucleotide ribosomal RNA is filed under the name Clostridioides difficile. RNAcentral's name for it is "bacterial SSU rRNA". It matches the Rfam family "Bacterial small subunit ribosomal RNA", at positions 466 to 885 of the family's 1533-position model. Lineage: Bacteria; Bacillati; Bacillota; Clostridia; Peptostreptococcales; Peptostreptococcaceae. The record is from RNAcentral.
AUAAUGACGGUACUUGAGGAGGAAGCCCCGGCUAACUACGUGCCAGCAGCCGCGGUAAUACGUAGGGGGCUAGCGUUAUCCGGAUUUACUGGGCGUAAAGGGUGCGUAGGCGGUCUUUCAAGUCAGGAGUGAAAGGCUACGGCUCAACCGUAGUAAGCUCUUGAAACUGGGAGACUUGAGUGCAGGGGAGGAGAGUGGAAUUCCUAGUGUAGCGGUGAAAUGCGUAGAUAUUAGGAGGAACACCAGUUGCGAAGGCGGCUCUCUGGACUGUAACUGACGCUGAGGCACGAAAGCGUGGGGAGCAAACAGGAUUAGAUACCCUGGUAGUCCACGCUGUAAACGAUGAGUACUAGGUGUCGGGGGUUACCCCCCUCGGUGCCGCAGCUAACGCAUUAAGUACUCCGCCUGGGAAGUACGC